UACGGAGGGGGCUAGCGUUGUUCGGAAUUACUGGGCGUAAAGCGUGCGCAGGCGGUUUUGUAAGACAGAGGUGAAAUCCCCGGGCUUAACCUGGGAACUGCCUUUGUGACUGCAAGGCUUGAGUGCGGCAGAGGGGGAUGGAAUUCCGCGUGUAGCAGUGAAAUGCGUAGAUAUGCGGAGGAACACCGAUGGCGAAGGCAGCCCCCUGGGUCAAGAUUGACGCUCAUGCACGAAAGCGUGGGGAGCAAACAGG
Molecule: ribosomal RNA, 253 nt
Filed under: uncultured bacterium
Lineage: Bacteria
Description: partial 16S ribosomal RNA
Rfam family: Bacterial small subunit ribosomal RNA
Source: RNAcentral